UCGAACGAGGUGCUUUUUGUAGCAAUACGAGGAGUAUCCUAGUGGCGAACGGGUGAGUAACGCGUGGGUGACCUACCCCAAAGUGUGGAAUAACAGUCCGAAAGGAUUGCCAAUGCCGCAUGUGGUCUGCGAGUUUAGAAAUCGUUGACUAAAGGAGCAAUUCGCUUUGGGAGGGACCUGCGUCCCAUCAGCUAGUUGGUGAGGUAACGGCUCACCAAGGCUACGACGGGUAGGGGACCUGAGAGGGUGGCCCCCCACAAUGGAACUGAAACACGGUCCAUACACCUACGGGUGGCAGCAGUAGGGAAUAUUGCACAAUGGGCGAAAGCCUGAUGCAGCAACGCCGCGUGCGCGAUGAAGGUCUUCGGAUCGUAAAGCGCUUUUCUGAGAGAUGAGAAAGGACAGUAUCUCAGGAAUAAGUCUCGGCUAACUACGUGCCAGCAGCCGCGGUAAAACGUAGGAGGCGAGCGUUAUCCGGAUUCACUGGGCGUAAAGCGCGUGCAGGUGGUUCGGUAAGUUGGGCGUGAAAUCUCCCGGCUCAACUGGGAGAGGUCGUUCAAUACUACCGGACUUGAGAGCAGAAGAGGAAGAUGGAAUUCCCGGUGUAGUGGUGAAAUGCGUAGAUAUCGGGAGGAACACCAGUGGCGAAGGCGAUCUUCUGGUCUGUUUCUGACACUCAGACGCGACAGCUAGGGUAGUAAACGGGAUUAGAGACCCCGGUAAUCCUAGCCGUAAACGAUGUGAACUUGGCGUUGGUGGGUUAAACUCCAUCAGUGCCGAAGCAAACGCGAUAAGUUCACCGCCUGGGGACUACGGCCGCAAGGUUAAAACUCAAAGGAAUUGACGG
Molecule: ribosomal RNA, 847 nt
Filed under: uncultured bacterium
Lineage: Bacteria
Description: bacterial SSU rRNA
Rfam family: Bacterial small subunit ribosomal RNA
Source: RNAcentral